GCCAGCAUGGUGCAGUGGUUUGAAUGUUGGACUACAACCCUGUAGACCAGGGUUUGAGUCCCUGCUCAGUCA
Molecule: non-coding RNA, 72 nt
Organism: Phrynosoma platyrhinos (Desert horned lizard)
Lineage: Eukaryota; Metazoa; Chordata; Lepidosauria; Squamata; Phrynosomatidae
Source: the annotation of a GenBank genome assembly